GAUUCUAUAGCCUAGUUCUCACAGUCUGCUGCAGUAGUAACUCAGUGUCUUCAGUGCCAGGUAUGAGCACGCCGGGAAUAAGUCUCAAUUACUCAGUUAACAAGCAAGUUUUAGGUUUGCAGCCUGCCUACAGGACAACUGGCUUUCUCUGCCACAUGAAGAUCUUCCUGCACCACCAUCAAGGUGCUGAUGUCCCUGUGCUACCACCACCACAUUAGUAACCAUGUCCUUUUUUUUAACUGUUAUUCAUUGUAUGUGGUCCUAAUCACAAAACAGAAAUUCAGGAGGGCUUCAUCUGCUUAAACAUGGAUAUUUGCAACUUAGUUUGAGUGAAUAAAACCUCAGUCUGCAUCACUUUGUUUCAUUUGGUUUCAUAAUGAAAGGAAAAUUUUCACAGAAGGUAAUGGAAUUUUCAAAUAAGACUGAUUAACCUAAAAAUGAAAUUCAAAAGUUUUUUUCAUGAGAAGCUGGAGAAACUUGAAAAAAAGAAAAAGCACUGAAAAAAAUGCUUUGAAGAAAAAGUUUGGA
Passer domesticus (house sparrow) is the source of this 528-nucleotide long non-coding RNA. RefSeq lists it as uncharacterized. The transcript has 3 exons. The record is from RefSeq and is a predicted model, not a curated record. Lineage: Eukaryota; Metazoa; Chordata; Aves; Passeriformes; Passeridae.